UACAAGUGCCAUCAUCAGAUUUCUUUGCUGGUUUCUAUUCUGGGUACUUUACAGUACCUAAGAAGGAUGGAGGCCUUGGUCCAAUUCUACCCAGCCACAAGGACCAGUGAUCACUACACACAAAAGACCAGCUAACGACAUCCAUCAAUCACAGUGACAGAUAAUCUCCCCUCCUUAUCACAAAAAUAUACCCACAACAAAAACACGCUGAUCACCAUAAUCACCCAUCUCCUGAAAAGGACAAAAGCUGAUCCCACAGCUAUAAAUACUCAACUCCCAAACAAACUGCACCAGAGCACAGAGUGCUACUCUUGUCCUCUGAAGAUGGAGCCAUAGAGACUGGCGAAACGUUAGGAAGAACAACCUUCAGAACAUGGCCAAAGAUCCUGAAAAACCCACAACAACAAAAAGAGGUUACUUACUUGUAACCAUAGUUCUUUUAGUGGUUCUCUGUGAAUUCAUAUAUGUGAAUUCAGAGAACCACUAGAACUAUGGUUACAGGUAAGUAACCUCUUUUUCACCAUUAUUUUCUGAUAUAUCUUACCCAGGAAGGUUUCCACUUUCACUUUCACCUCCUUGAAAGGGUGGAGCUACUCUACUGGAGAAGAGGUGGGGCUGUUUGGCUGACAGAAGUUGGGACUCUUUAAAACCCAUCCUCUGGAGAGAAGCCUGCCAUGUAGCUGGGAGACACACGGUGCCUCCUUCUCGCUCCCAUCAGAUACCGCCAGGUCCACCUGAGCCCACCGGCCAGACUCCACCAUGGUCACGUACAACGUCCGAGUGCUGACUGGAAAUUUCCUCUUUAAAACCGCCCUAGACAACUGGGGUCUGGAUUUCUACCGAGGAGCGGUGAGUAAUUAUAAGGUCUAUUCUUACCAUGACCUGGGAGAAAUUGUGCUCAUACGUCUCUACAAAGAGUGCAAGCCGCUCGUGGUCACCACCAGAUGGUACUGCAAUAAAGUGACCGUGAUGUCCCCAGAUUGGAAGGCUUUCGACUUUCCCUGCUACCAGUGGAUAGGUGGACUUAUUGAAGUAAUUAUUGAUGGCACUGAAUUGGUUACUUUAAGCAACUGGACAUCUUUCUCUUCGAAUACAAUUAUUUGACAUCUUAGGACAUAACGCUAUAACAAGGAAAAU
RNAcentral lists this long non-coding RNA (1137 nucleotides) under Pogona vitticeps (central bearded dragon). RNAcentral's name for it is "lncRNA (ENSPVIG00000008408.1)". The record is from RNAcentral. Lineage: Eukaryota; Metazoa; Chordata; Lepidosauria; Squamata; Agamidae.